RNAcentral lists this long non-coding RNA (1458 nucleotides) under Zostera marina. RNAcentral's name for it is "long non-coding RNA (ZMAR_LNC001193)". Lineage: Eukaryota; Viridiplantae; Streptophyta; Magnoliopsida; Alismatales; Zosteraceae. The record is from RNAcentral.
UACUAUAGUUACUUAUAUUCAGUUAACUCAUCAGAUUUGAAUAGAGGAAGACAACAAUUUCUACAACACAUCCAAUUUCUUUACUCUCCUCUCCUUACGUUUUCUUUCUAGGACUUUCUUUUCGGUUUGCUUUGGGGGAAUUAUUUUUUGAUUUCUUCUUGCCUUUUGGGAUUCCAAGCUGUCGAUUUUGUGGGAAUUGCAAUUAUGCGUGCAAUAUUAUAUUCUCAUGUCUGAAAUUUUUAUUUUUCUGUUUUGUGCAAUUCCUUUGUAGAUUUGUGGUUAUCAUAAUUCUCAUAAUUCAGAGUGAUAAAGUGAUAAACUGACCGACUGUGAACUGAUAAAGUGAACUAUAACUCUCAUAAUUCUCAUUUAGACAUUUUAAUAAACUGAUAAAGUGAACUAUAACCAUUUUAUGCCUUUUCAGCAUUUUCGAUUAACUUUUUUCCACCAGUUUUUUAUUAUUCCUAUGUUUCUUCUUCUAGUGAAUCUUUCAUUCCUUUCUCUGUUUCAUAUAUUUACUUGUGUUUUUCCUUAGCUGUAUUAGUUUUCUUUGGUUCUCCCAGGUAUCCACAGAAACGGAAACGCAUUCAAACAAUUAUGACUGAUACAAUGAUGGACAUUCCGGUAGAUACAUAUCCCACUGUAUGCUAUCUAAAUCAAUAUUUUACUUUUUUUUAUAUCAUUCUAUUCAAAAUUUACAACAGAGUGUGAUUGCUCCAGUUGAAUUUUGUCCACAGGUUGUCGUGUAUUCCAUUAAAUGUCAUUCGUUUUCUUUUUGUUGUCUUUUUUUUAAGGAAAUUUCUAUUCGUCUUCUAUUUGAUUUCGACGAUGGAUUUCCUUUCUCAUUCUUAUGACUCGAUUUCAUUGUGAUUUCAUAUUCCGAUUUCUAUGUGAUUUCAUUAUUUCGAUUUCAUUGUGAUUUCAUUAUUCCGAAUACAGAUCGAUUACAGCAUGAUUCCGUUUACGAAUGAUUUCUUUUAUCUGACUACGUUUUUCUGUGCGAUUACUUACAUUAAUUCUGUCUGUUGGUGAAGUUCAAUUACAACUAAGGUUUGAGCUUUAAAUUUGAUAGCGUUAAUGUUCUUGAGUAUUUUUUUAGAAUACUAUCCUAUAUUUUUUUUACGGAAUAAUGAUUCGUGUAUGGGUCGCCUAACGGGCCUCGAACUUCACUGGCUAGGGUUUCGUUCAGACCAGUAUUCAUAUUCAUAUUCAUAUCCAAUACGAAUAUGAGAACAGAAGCAAUUAUGGAUAGAAUUUUGGUGAUAAAUAUCUAUCCCAAAAGUGUUGAGGAGUUCAACCGAUCGACCCGAAAUACGAAAAGAUAUUGUCAGACAAAAAGACAUUAUUAGCAGUAGUAAAGUAGUAUUUAAUGAGAUUUUAAAUGUUUAUUACCUGUAGACAUCAAUCAAUCAGAUUUUUGAACAGAAAAUUAAAUAUAUUACUGUAGUUGACGAGGGG